UACGUAGGGGGCGAGCGUUGUCCGGAAUGAUUGGGCGUAAAGGGCGCGUAGGCGGCUGUGCAAGUCAGUAGUGGAAGCCCAGCUUUUAAGGUUGGAAGUGCUAUUGAAACUGUGCAGCUUGAGUGCAGGAGAGGUUAUCGGAAUUCCCGGUGUAGCGGUGAAAUGCGUAGAGAUCGGGAGGAACACCAGUGGCGAAGGCGGGUGACUGGACUGCAACUGACGCUGAGGCGCGAAAGUGUGGGGGGCAAACAGGAUUAGAUACCCCGGUA
RNAcentral lists this ribosomal RNA (269 nucleotides) under uncultured prokaryote. Its description in RNAcentral is "partial 16S ribosomal RNA". It matches the Rfam family "Bacterial small subunit ribosomal RNA", at positions 524 to 792 of the family's 1533-position model. The record is from RNAcentral.